GGGGGGGCAAGCGUUGUUCGGAAUUACUGGGCGUAAAGGGCGCGCAGGCGGGCGGGACAGUCUUUCGUGAAAGCCCACGGCUCAACCGUGGAAUUGCGGGAGAUACUUCUCGUCUUGAGUUCGGGAGAGGAGUGUGGAAUUCCCAGUGUAGCGGUGAAAUGCGUAGAUAUUGGGAGGAACACCGGUGGCGAAGGCGGCACUCUGGACCGAUACUGACGCUGAGGCGCGAAAGCUAGGGGAGCAAACGGGAUUAGAUACCCCGGUAGUCCUGGCUGUAAACGCUGAGCACUUGGUGUAGCGGGUAUCGACCCCUGCUGUGCCGAAGCUAACGCAUUAAGUGCUCCGCCUGGGGAGUACGGUCGCAAGGCUG
This 370-nucleotide ribosomal RNA is filed under the name uncultured organism. Its description in RNAcentral is "partial 16S ribosomal RNA". It matches the Rfam family "Bacterial small subunit ribosomal RNA", at positions 528 to 896 of the family's 1533-position model. The record is from RNAcentral.